GAUUUCAGCUCAUUUCCUUUAUACGCACCUUUAACAGGAAGAGUUUUAUACAGCUAGUGUUUAAAAUCCAGUGUUCCUCACAGUACACAGGUAACGAGCAUAAUGAUUAUUGAAUUAGUAACAUUUUCUAAAAUCAUUGUUUUAGUUAAUAUUGUAUGAUAGUGUACACAGAAUUAUUAGCUCAGUAGGCAGAGUGGUCGCCCCGUGAUCAUAAGGUCAGGGGUUGAAUCCACCGAAUAGUUACCUUGUGGUACCCCUGAGCGAGGUACCAUCAAGGUACCAAUCGUGUGCACUGAACUGGUAGCACUCAUGGUCUCAAAGGUUUAAAAUAAAAAAAGGUUCAACAUAUAAACAAAUUUAAUUUGAUCACAUAUAUUGUUUUUGUUUUUUCCCUUUCUCUCUCAGACUGAGCAGCUGUAAGUCUCAGAGAAAGGCUGUGAAAAUCUGCUGUCACUGGUCAGCUCCCAGUCCUGUAGUCUGAGAGAGCUGGACCUGAGUACCAACAGCCUGAAGGCUUCAGCAGUAAAGCUUCUGUCUGCUGCAGUGGAGAGUCCACACGCCAAACUGAAUGUUCUGAGACUUAACAUCUGUGAACUCUCAGAGGAAAACUGUGAAGCUCUGUCCUCAGUUCUCAGCUCACAGUCCUCUAGUCUGACAGAGCUGGACCUGAGUAUCAGAAAGCUGCAGGAUUCAGGAGUGAAGCUUCUGUCUGCUGGACUACAACGUUUAAACUGUAAACUGAAUACUCUGAGACUGAGUGGCUGUAACCUGUCAGAGAGAAGCUGUGAAGCUCUGUCCUCAGUCCUCAGCUCCCAGUCCUCCAGUCUGAGAGAGCUGGACCUGAGUAACUCUGACCUGCAGGAUUCAGGAGUGAAGCUUCUGUCGCUGGACUAAAGAGUUCACAGUGUGCAGUGGAAACUCUCAGUCUGUCAGGCUGUCUGAUCACAGAGGAAGGCUGUACUUCUCUGGCCUCAGCUCUGAGCUCCAACCCCUCCCAUCUGAGAGAGCUGGACCUGAGCUACAAUCAUCCAGGUGACUCAGGAAUGAAGCUGCUGUCGGCUGGACUGAAGGAUCCAGGCUGGAGACUGGACACUCUCAGGUAUGGAGAGAAUGUCUGAUAGAGGAGGAAGAGCUGGAAACAUUUCCUGUGUCCUUCACUCACUUCCUGUUUGUUUCCUGCAGAUGAGACAUGAACAAUCACACAUGCAGGAAUAUUUUCAGGGACAGACACACUAGUCUAGCUGGAUAGUACAUGGAUAUUUAUGUAGGGGGUCUCCAAGGAGUCUGUUUGCAGGAACAUUAAUGAUAACUGUAUCAUGUUGAGAGUUUCAUUAAAAGUAGACCUACAGUUAGGUCCAUAAAUAUUUGGACAGAGACAACAUUUUGUAACUUUAGAUACACUUUAUUAGGUCACAGGUGUGUUACAUGAGAUAGUGGCACUGUGUACCUAAUAAGUGUCAGCCAUGUGUAUGUUUCCCAUGCUGUAUGUCCACAGUCAC
Molecule: long non-coding RNA, 1499 nt
Organism: Haplochromis burtoni (Burton's mouthbrooder)
Lineage: Eukaryota; Metazoa; Chordata; Actinopteri; Cichliformes; Cichlidae
Exons: 4
Source: RefSeq, a predicted model, not a curated record